UGUGGAAUUACUGGAUCAUAUGGUAAUUCUAUCUUUAAUUUUUUGAAAAACCUCCAUACUCUAUGCCACAGUGGCUGCACCAGUUAAGAACCAAAACAAAUGAACAAACGGGGGUAAAGAAAAGAAGGUGGGGGAGACAAACCGAGAAACGGACUCUUAACUAUAGCGAGCAAACUGAUGGUCACCAGAGGGGAGGUGGGUGGGGUGUUGGGGGAAAUACGUGAAGGGGACUAAGAGUAUACUUAUUGUGAUGAGCAAUGCGUAAUAUAUAAUUUUUGAAUUACUAUUUUGUAUGCCUGAAACUAAUGUAACAUUGUAUGCUAACUAAACUGGAAUUAAAACUAAAAAAAAAGAAAAAGAAAUUACCACUCAUUUGACUUGAUACUUUGUGCUGUCAUCCCUUCCUAGGUUUGGGUUGACAGAAUAUGACUGUGAUCAAAGAAUCGACCUUGUCUGUCCCUAAGUUGCCUCAUCUCUGACACGGGCGUAAUAAGAGCAUUCCAGAGUUACUGUGGAAAUCAAAUGAGAUAAUGUAUACAAAGCAUUGAGAACAGUGCUUGGUACAUGAGGUACCCUGCGUGUUCAGUUUCACAGAGUCAUUGGGAACCCCAGCUCCACCUGCCAUGUCAUUGGGUGCAUUCCCAAGAAACAGAAGGGUGGUGCCAACACCAUCCAUCUUGUCUGGAAGAUGAAGCAAGGAAGAGGAAAGCCCAAAUCUGAGCAUGGACCCUCCAAGGAAACUGCCCAGAAAUUGCAUCUACCACAUUGGCUUACAUCCCACUGGCCAGGAUUUAAUUACAUGGAUACAAUGCAAGGGAGGCUGUGAAACAGAGUCUUCAUUCCAAGUCACCAUGUGCUCAGCUAAACAUUUACUUCUGAGAGAGAAGAGAAUAAAUAUUGGGAUCAACGAGUUGGCUCUUCCAAGUCUGCCUUCUGGUCACCGGAAUAUCCAUGUGCUGUUUUUCCCACACAUAGGACAUCCUCCUCUCCCACAGGAACAUAGUCUCAAGUCUGGCCCAGUUAGUACAUCCCACCUGACUCGUACGAUUCCUAAGUGGUGUGCAACCCUUUCCAUCAGAUCCGGCAUGGCUCCCCAUGGAAGAAAUGUGAAAAUUAAAAUAAAAGAAAAUAAUAUUUUUAGAGGAGAAAA
Molecule: long non-coding RNA, 1150 nt
Organism: Felis catus (domestic cat)
Lineage: Eukaryota; Metazoa; Chordata; Mammalia; Carnivora; Felidae
Exons: 2
Source: RefSeq, a predicted model, not a curated record